CGGACGGGUGAGUAACGCGUGAGUAACCUGCCUUACACAAGGGGAUAGCCGUUGGAAACGACGAAUAAUACCCUAUGACAUAAACUCUUCGCAUGAGGAGCUUAUCAAAGAUUUAUCGGUGUAAGAUGGACUCGCGUCUGAUUAGCUAGUUGGUGAGGUAACGGCCCACCAAGGCGACGAUCAGUAGCCGGCUUGAGAGAGUGUACGGCCACAUUGGGACUGAGACACGGCCCAGACUCCUACGGGAGGCAGCAGGU
RNAcentral lists this ribosomal RNA (257 nucleotides) under uncultured Anaerococcus sp. RNAcentral's name for it is "partial 16S ribosomal RNA". It matches the Rfam family "Bacterial small subunit ribosomal RNA", at positions 99 to 354 of the family's 1533-position model. The record is from RNAcentral. Lineage: Bacteria; Bacillati; Bacillota; Tissierellia; Tissierellales; Peptoniphilaceae.